Molecule: regulatory RNA element, 56 nt
Organism: Corynebacterium riegelii
Lineage: Bacteria; Bacillati; Actinomycetota; Actinomycetes; Mycobacteriales; Corynebacteriaceae
Rfam family: L31-Corynebacteriaceae ribosomal protein leader
Source: Rfam
ACUCAGGCACGAUCGCCGAAAAAUGGCGAACCGACCUGAAGUUCAAUCCUGAGGGA